UACAGAGGGGGCCAGCGUUAUUCGGAAUUAUUGGGCGUAAAGGGCGCGUAGGCGGCUUUGCGUGUCUUUCGUGAAAUCCCUCGGCUCAACUGAGGACGUGCGGAAGAAACUGCAGGGCUGGAGUCCGGGAGAGGAGGGUGGAAUUCCCAGUGUAGCGGUGAAAUGCGUAGAUAUUGGGAGGAACACCGGUGGCGAAGGCGGGUCUCUGGGCCGAUACUGACGCUGAGGAGCGAAAGCGUGGGGAGCGAACAGG
RNAcentral lists this ribosomal RNA (253 nucleotides) under uncultured bacterium. Its description in RNAcentral is "partial 16S ribosomal RNA". It matches the Rfam family "Bacterial small subunit ribosomal RNA", at positions 524 to 776 of the family's 1533-position model. The record is from RNAcentral.